UAUUUGCCAAUAAAACUGGAAUUUGUCUUACGAGUCAGUGUCUAGUAUAGUGUGGGUAUAAUAACUCAGUUAAAUGUAGUUCAAUGUCAAGGAAGCGAAAUAGAUUCAAGGGAGCACAGAGCGAGCACCGACUGAACUACUGAAUUUCUUGUGGGCUGGAUUUAUAAACGAGACUUGUAUGCAGGCAGCAAAAGCGAACAAAAGCUGUUCACAAGCUCAUCACAGAAAUGUCUGAGGAGCGACGUUGAUGACAAAUAAGCUUCAAAAUAAACAUUCACCACCAAUGAGAGGCUUCGCGCAUUGCGCAUAUUAGCUAAUUUACAAAAAAGCAAAUUCAGCAACAACAAUAACAAUAACAACAACAACAAACCGGCGAACACGCAAGAGACUAUGAUGAAAUCGUCUAAAGUUAGAUUGCGAUUUUACGAGUUUUUCUUCUUGAGCUGAGCCCACGAAAUGUUCAAGCGAAGAAAAAGCGAAGAGAAGAGGAAGAUCAAAAACAUAAGCAGAGAGAGAGAUAGAGAGAUUUCACAAAUAACCAAUUAAUUACCGUUAAUGUUCGCUUGAUUUUCACUUCUAGUUCGAAAUGUAUCUAUAUAUACAUAGGGAAGCAGAUCGUUGUACUAUAUCUUAUGGCCGCCGACACGCUCGAUUGUCGAACUGAUACUGAGACCCAUGAGCGACUCAAAGAGAAUUCGUACUUGAUUUCAAUAGCAAACAGAUGUUUGUUUUGUCUGUGCAUUUCUUUCAUCUCUGAGCUUUUCUGUCUGAGCAAUUAAAAAAGCGCUCGUUAACUCCCACAAACCUCUUUUCUUCAA
Long non-coding RNA from Drosophila sulfurigaster albostrigata, 818 nucleotides. RefSeq lists it as uncharacterized. The record is from RefSeq and is a predicted model, not a curated record. Lineage: Eukaryota; Metazoa; Arthropoda; Insecta; Diptera; Drosophilidae. The transcript has 2 exons.